This 252-nucleotide ribosomal RNA is filed under the name uncultured bacterium. RNAcentral's name for it is "partial 16S ribosomal RNA". It matches the Rfam family "Bacterial small subunit ribosomal RNA", at positions 524 to 776 of the family's 1533-position model. The record is from RNAcentral.
UACGUAGGGUGCAAGCGUUAAUCGGAAUUACUGGGCGUAAAGCGUGCGCAGGCGGUUGUGCAAGACAGAUGUGAAAUCCCCGGGCUCAACCUGGGAAUUGCAUUUGUGACUGCACGGCUAGAGUGUGUCAGGGGGGGUAGAAUUCCACGUGUAGCAGUGAAAUGCGUAGAGAUGUGGAGGAAUACCGAUGGCGAAGGCAGCCCCCUGGGAUAACACUGACGCUCAUGCACGAAAGCGUGGGGAGCAAACAGG